Malus domestica (apple) is the source of this 2528-nucleotide non-coding RNA. The record is from RefSeq and is a predicted model, not a curated record. Lineage: Eukaryota; Viridiplantae; Streptophyta; Magnoliopsida; Rosales; Rosaceae.
AUGUUACACAUGAAAAAUAUACAUCCAAAUUUCAACAGAUUUACAGGCUUCUUCUUCUCCAUAGUUCUCAAGGCGAGCACAUCAAUACCAACGUCUUCCAAGAAGGUGACAGGAUCGAAAGCUAUAGUUUCAGCGAAGAGAGCAUCAAGAUCGUCAGCGAAGAGAGCACGAAGGUCGUCUAGCACCAGGAGUAUUGUCUUCAACUCUUUCCCAUUACCAAAGCAUCGUUUCGGCAGUGACGGAUUUACAGGCUUCUUUUUCUCCAUAGUUGCCAUGGCGUGCACAUCAAUACCCAAGUUUUCCAAGAAGGUGACGAGAUCGAAAGCUGUGGUUUUAGCAAAGAGAGCAUCAAGGUCGUCAAGAAGCUCUCCCUCACACGACAGUUCAUACUCCAUCUGGUUGGGAAAAGGAAAGUAGCAGUGAUAGCUAGGGCUUGGAAAUCUGGAAACUAGAGAGUAGUACUGUAGUGGUUUACAACACUACAAUAAAAAGACGUUAUUGCGUCUGAUAUCACAGCCGUCGCAAAUAACACAAAAUAUGCGCGCUAGAUGGUGGAGCGAAAAUAAUUGCGACCUUGGCAUUAGUAACGUCGCAAUUAAAGUCGGAAAAAGAUUAGAAAUAACAAUAUGUCGUCUUCAACAAAGGGUUUGCGACGGUCCGAAACGACGGAAUAAAAUUCAGCGCUCAAAUUUUUACAUACGCGCUCAAUUUUCAGAUGAAAUAGCCCAGCGCGUGUUUCCUUUUCCUUUCUAUCCGAAAAAGAAAAAUCUUUUUCUCUCCCUCAACUGUUUCUUUCCCCCAUGGUGCUCCUCUCUCCCUAAUCCAUCCAAUUAGAGAUUCAAUCGGAGAUUCUAGAGAUUCAAUCGGAGAUUCUAGAGCUUAAUCGGAGAUUCUGGAGCACAAUCGGAGUUCUUGUAAGCCACUACAAUCAUCUCCAUCUUCUCUCUAUUCUUAUUCAAUAACUUUUGCUAAGUGAUUUCUAGGGUUCCUCUCAAAUCCGGAAAACAAUUGUUUUUAUUAAUAUUGGAUUGAUUUUUCUAAUUGUUGUUGAUAUGUUUACCUGGAAAGAUUAUGUACGUGAGAUCCCCUCUUUUCUUAUUUCCAAUUUUUGUUGUCGUUUACUUUCAAGUGAGUUUUGAGAUAUACAAGGAUUCAUUUUUCGUUUCAGUAUGGGUGGUAACGGAAUUUGAUCUGGAACUCAUUAGAUUUUGCUAAAAUAUAUUUUUUAGAUAAAUUCAGAGUUGUGUUUUUUUCAACUGGAUUUUAAGUUUUAGUAGAAACACAGAACCACUUUUGGUGUAGCUAAUGGGAUUGUUUAGUUUUGGAUUAGUUUGGAAAAUUGUUUAACUUUUGCGUAGCUAAUGGGACUUUGUAGUGUUGAAUUAGUUUGAAAACUUGUAAAACUACAGGGAGUAUGAGUUUGGUAAAUUUAAUGAGUCUUUGACUCUUUGUAGGGUACAAUUUCCCACACUUUUUCUUUCGGAAUAAAUCUGAAUUGUUCGUGAUUUUAGGAGUUUUAGCAAUGUUUGUUGCCAGGACAUUAUCAAGAUUUGUUUCUGAUAGAUUCAGCAACAUGCUUGGGAUCUUUUUUGAGGUUGAAAAUUAAGAUUUUGAAUCAGAUGUAAGCUGUGGAAGUUUUUGUUAGGGUAGGAUCAGUGUUGUAGUUCAUAUACUUUGGAUUCGCAACAGAUAUCAGAACAGGGUGCUUAAUACAUAUCUUGGUAAUGAGUUUGAGAGUCAUGACUCUUAUGUCUAAGCAUCCAAGGAUUACAUAUGCAAACCUGUACUAGGUGAUUAUAGUUCUGAAUAAUUUACUCAGCCUAUUAUAUGAAUUUAGCUCAUCAAAUUAUUUGCAAAUGAAGAGCUUGUACAAAGACCAUCACUGGCUUUCCUAAACUACGUGGGAGAUAGCAUGGAUUCUUUAAUGAAGACAGCAAUUAAGGGGCAUGAUUACUUGUAUUUUCAGCUUGCUGGUGUGUUGCAGUUGAGUUCACUGCCCUGCCAUUGUUUUCUUUUUUCCAGGCAGGAAGGUAUGUUGUGGCCACUGACCACUUAUUUCAAGAACACAUAGCUAGUUUUCAUCUGUUUUUUGUAUUUUUUCUUAGGAUUCUAAAAUUUCUCCUAAGGAAGGACGACUUACAGGUGCUAAACGAGGUGCACCACAUUUUAGGGAAAAGUUCUAUAGAAUGGGGCUAUUGACAAGGAUAUUUUUGCACUAUAUGGGGGUGAUACAUUGGUAAUUCUCCCUCCUUGCACUACAUGGGCGUGAUACACUGGGGGUUGCUGAAACUUCCGACAUAUGCAGCUUUAGUGGAGGAUCCUGAGUUCUGUAAAUAUAUUGAUCUGUAUGCAAAGGUUUUGGCUAAUGACUACAUGAUGCCAUGGAUGUAUAAUGUAUAGGACCAUUCAACUAACUUGAAGUAAAAGUGGAGCGUUGCUUUCAUAGUUUUAUUGGUACUUGUAUAUGAUAAUACACUGUACAAUGAUUUACAUUAAUUAUAGUUCAUUAUUAACAACAAUUCUUCGUA